CAGUCGCCGCGGUAAUACGAAGGGGGCUAGCGUUGUUCGGAUUUACUGGGCGUAAAGGGUGCGUAGGCGGUUCGUUAAGACAGAUGUGAAAUCCCCGGGCUUAACCUGGGAACUGCAUUUGUGACUGGCGAGCUAGAGUAUGGCAGAGGGGGGUAGAAUUCCACGUGUAGCAGUGAAAUGCGUAGAGAUGUGGAGGAAUACCGAUGGCGAAGGCAGCCCCCUGGGCCAAUACUGACGCUCAUGCACGAAAGCGUGGGGAGCAAACAGGAUUAGAUACCCCCGUAGUCCCUGUCUCUUAUAC
RNAcentral lists this ribosomal RNA (301 nucleotides) under uncultured bacterium. Its description in RNAcentral is "partial 16S ribosomal RNA". It matches the Rfam family "Bacterial small subunit ribosomal RNA", at positions 509 to 807 of the family's 1533-position model. The record is from RNAcentral.